AUUGAACGCUGGCGGCAUGCUUUACACAUGCAAGUCGAACGGCAGCGCGGGCUUCGGCCUGGCGGCGAGUGGCGAACGGGUGAGUAAUGCAUCGGAACGUGCCCAGUAGUGGGGGAUAGCCCGGCGAAAGCCGGAUUAAUACCGCAUACGACCUGAGGGUGAAAGCGGGGGACCGAAAGGCCUCGCGCUAUUGGAGCGGCCGAUGUCGGAUUAGCUAGUUGGUGGGGUAAAGGCUUACCAAGGCGACGAUCCGUAGCUGGUCUGAGAGGACGACCAGCCACAGGGGGAAGGAGACAGGCCCCAGACCCCUGGGGGAGGGAGCAGGGGGAAAUUUGGGAGAAGGGGGGCACCCUGAACCCAGCCGUGCCGGGGGGGGAAAGAGGGCGUGGGGUUUGAAACCGGGUUUUUUGGGGAAAAAAACCCUCGGGGCUAAUACCCCGGGGGGAUGAGGGUACGGAAAAAAAAAGCCCGGGCAAACUCCGUG
This 484-nucleotide ribosomal RNA is filed under the name uncultured bacterium. RNAcentral describes it as "partial 16S ribosomal RNA". It matches the Rfam family "Bacterial small subunit ribosomal RNA", at positions 29 to 507 of the family's 1533-position model. The record is from RNAcentral.